UACGUAGGGUGCGAGCGUUAAUCGGAUUUACUGGGCGUAAAGGGGGCGUAGGCGGCCGUGAAAGUCCGGUGUGAAAACUCACGGCUCAACCGUGGGACUGCGCUGGAAACUACACGGCUUGAGGACGGUAGAGGGAGACGGAACUGCUGGUGUAGGGGUGAAAUCCGUAGAUAUCAGCAGGAACGCCGGUGGAGAAGUCGGUCUCCUGGGCCGCUCCUGACGCUGAGGCCCGAAAGCUAGGGGAGCAAACCGG
RNAcentral lists this ribosomal RNA (253 nucleotides) under uncultured microorganism. RNAcentral describes it as "partial 16S ribosomal RNA". It matches the Rfam family "Bacterial small subunit ribosomal RNA", at positions 524 to 776 of the family's 1533-position model. The record is from RNAcentral.